This 253-nucleotide ribosomal RNA is filed under the name uncultured bacterium. RNAcentral describes it as "partial 16S ribosomal RNA". It matches the Rfam family "Bacterial small subunit ribosomal RNA", at positions 524 to 776 of the family's 1533-position model. The record is from RNAcentral.
UACGUAGGGACCGAGCGUUGUCCGGAAUCAUUGGGCGUAAAGAGCGUGUAGGCGGCUAUUUAAGUCCUGCGUGAAAUCCUGCGGCUCAACCGCAGACGGUCGUGGGAAACUGGAUGGCUAGAGUGCGGGGGAGGAGAGUGGAAUUCCCGGUGUAGCGGUGAAAUGCGCAGAUAUCGGGAAGAACACCCGUGGCGAAGACGGCUCUCUGGAACGCAACUGACGCUGAGACGCGAAAGCGUGGGGAGCAAACAGG